This 2101-nucleotide ribosomal RNA is filed under the name Chaetothyriales sp. MP-2014. RNAcentral describes it as "eukaryotic LSU rRNA". The stretch from base 1180 to 2101 matches the Rfam family "Eukaryotic large subunit ribosomal RNA", at positions 1 to 943 of the family's 3401-position model. Lineage: Eukaryota; Fungi; Ascomycota; Eurotiomycetes; Chaetothyriales. The record is from RNAcentral.
CAUUUGAUGCACAAUAUUGAUGCAUUGUGAUUAAGUCCAGAAACCGACAUAUUUGAAAUAUACUACCUCAUUGUUAGCCUUUGGAAAAAAAAACGUAUGGAUUUUCUUGGGACUUUGAAAAAAUCCUGUGGAUUUUUCCUUGGGACUUACAUUGGAUGUAUUGAAAUAUGAUAUGUUGAUGAUAUGUUGGUAUGUGAUAUUGUUGGCACAAAGGAGAAUAGAAUGAGUGACUAAAAGUUUGUUUUGAGUUUUGAAUGAAUGACUGAAGUUGGUUUUCCAAAAGAAAACGAAAGACUCCCUUCCCUUCCUACCCUUUGGCAUCUUGGCAUUUCUGCUCACAGAAAACCUCGGACAGGGAAGGAACCAAGACGUGUAGUCGCUCCUGCCGCAUAGAAAUAAAAUGCUGAGCAAAAUUUCUAAGUCCACGUCUUCUGCCGCAUAGAAAAUAAAAUGCUGAGCAAAAUUCCUAAGUCCACGUCUUCAGAGAUCUGUCCAAUAUAUACUCUAAGGGGUCGAAUCAUUUCUCUCAUGGCUCUUCGGUGUGAUGAGUUAAGUACUAGUAACAAGUCAAUGUUCCGUAGGUGAACCUGCGGAAGGAUCAUUACCGAGUUAGGGUUCUCUCCUGAGGCCCGACCUCCCAACCCUGUGUCUAACAAACCUGUGUGUGUUGCUUCGGUGGACCGGCAGUCCCCUCACGGGGGUCCGUCGCCGGGGGGAGAAACGGCCUCACGGCCCGCCCCUGGAGAGUGUCCGCCGAUGGCCCAACCAACAUAACAACUCCCAAACCCAAAAUAUUGUACGUAAAACUUCUGAAUCAGACCUUUUUUGAUGGACCAAAUCAAAAAUAAAACUUUCAACAACGGAUCUCUUGGUUCUGGCAUCGAUGAAGAACGCAGCGAAAUGCGAUAAGUAAUGCGAAUUGCAGAAUUUCCGUGAGUCAUCGAAUCUUUGAACGCACAUUGCGCCCUUUGGCAUUCCGAAGGGCAUGCCUGUUCGAGCGUCAUUAUCCUCUCUCAAACCUCGGGUUUGGUGUUGGACCGCGUUGGACCUGCCCAUGGCCAACUGGUCUCAAAGACAAUGACGGCGUCCCCGGGACCCUCUUCGCACUGAGCUUUUUGGAAGCACGCGUCGAGUUUCACGGGCCCAGGGACCCGGUCACCCCUAAAAACUUUUCAAGGUUGACCUCGGAUCAGGUAGGAAUACCCGCUGAACUUAAGCAUAUCAAUAAGCGGAGGAAAAGAAACCAACAGGGAUUGCCUCAGUAACGGCGAGUGAAGCGGCAACAGCUCAAAUUUGAAAUCUGGCCUCACGGUCCGAGUUGUAAUUUGUAGAGGAUGUUUUGGGCACCGCUCCGGGUUAAAUUUCUUGGAACAGAAUGUCAAAGAGGGUGAGAGUCCCGUCUUGGCCCGCGGUAGGACCUAUGUAAAACUCCUUCGACGAGUCGACUUGUUUGGGAAUGCAGGUCAAAAUGGGUGGUAAAUUUCAUCUAAAGCUAAAUAUUGGCCAGAGACCGAUAGCGCACAAGUAGAGUGAUCGAAAGAUGAAAAGCACUUUGAAAAGAGAGUUAAACAGUAUGUGAAAUUGUUGAAAGGGAAGCGCUGGCGACCAGACUCGAGCGCGGUGUUCCCCCUGGCUUCUGCCUGGGUUACUUCACCGUGACCGGGCCAUCAUCAGUUUUGGGGGUUGGUUAAAGAUUUGGGGAAUGUAUCCUCUCCUUCGGGGGAGGACUUAUAGCCCUGGAUGUCAUGCAGCCUCCCGGGACUGAGGAACGCGCUUCGGCGAGGAUGAUGGCGUAAUGGUUGUCAGCGACCCGUCUUGAAACACGGACCAAGGAGUCUAACAUCUAUGCGAGUGUUCGGGUGUCAAACCCUUGCGCGGAAUGAAAGUGAACGGAGGUAGGAAGGCUUGAGCCUGCACUAUCGACCGAUCCUGAUGUCUUCGGAUGGAUUUGAGUAAGAGCAUAGCUGUUGGGACCCGAAAGAUGGUGAACUAUGCGUGAAUAGGGUGAAGCCAGAGGAAACUCUGGUGGAGGCUCGCAGCGGUUCUGACGUGCAAAUCGAUCGUCAAAUUUGCGUAUAGGGCGAAAGACUAAUCGAACCAU